This 1369-nucleotide ribosomal RNA is filed under the name uncultured bacterium. Its description in RNAcentral is "bacterial SSU rRNA". It matches the Rfam family "Bacterial small subunit ribosomal RNA", at positions 18 to 1395 of the family's 1533-position model. The record is from RNAcentral.
CCUGGCUCAGGAUGAACGCUGGCGGCGUGCCUAAUACAUGCAAGUCGAACGCUUCACUUCGGUGAAGAGUGGCGAACGGGUGAGUAAUACAUAAGUAACCUGGCAUCUACAGGGGGAUAACUGAUGGAAACGUCAGCUAAGACCGCAUAGGUGUAGAGAUCGCAUGAACUCUAUAUGAAAAGUGCUACGGGACUGGUAGAUGAUGGACUUAUGGCGCAUUAGCUUGUUGGUAGGGUAACGGCCUACCAAGGCGACGAUGCGUAGCCGACCUGAGAGGGUGACCGGCCACACUGGGACUGAGACACGGCCCAGACUCCUACGGGAGGCAGCAGUAGGGAAUUUUCGGCAAUGGGGGAAACCCUGACCGAGCAACGCCGCGUGAAGGAAGAAGUAAUUCGUUAUGUAAACUUCUGUCAUAGAGGAAGAACGGUGGAUAUAGGGAAUGAUAUCCAAGUGACGGUACUCUAUAAGAAAGCCACGGCUAACUACGUGCCAGCAGCCGCGGUAAUACGUAGGUGGCGAGCGUUAUCCGGAAUUAUUGGGCGUAAAGAGGGAGCAGGCGGCACUAAGGGUCUGUGGUGAAAGAUCGAAGCUUAACUUCGGUAAGCCAUGGAAACCGUAGAGCUAGAGUGUGUGAGAGGAUCGUGGAAUUCCAUGUGUAGCGGUGAAAUGCGUAGAUAUAUGGAGGAACACCAGUGGCGAAGGUGACGAUCUGGCGCAUAACUGACGCUCAGUCCCGAAAGCGUGGGGAGCAAAUAGGAUUAGAUACCCUAGUAGUCCACGCCGUAAACGAUGAGUACUAAGUGUGGGGGGUCAAACCUCAGUGCUGCAGUUAACGCAAUAAGUACUCCGCCUGAGUAGUACGUUCGCAAGAAUGAAACUCAAAGGAAUUGACGGGGGCCCGCACAAGCGGUGGAGCAUGUGGUUUAAUUCGAAGCAACGCGAAGAACCUUUCCAGGUCCUGACAUCGAUCUAAAGGCUCCAGAGAUGGAGAGAUAGCUAUAGAGAAGACAGGUGGUGCAUGGUUGUCGUCAGCUCGUGUCGUGAGAUGUUGGGUUAAGUCCCGCAACGAGCGCAACCCCUGUUGCCAGUUGCCAGCAUUAAGUUGGGGACUCUGGCGAGACUGCCGGUGACAAGCCGGAGGAAGGCGGGGAUGACGUCAAAUCAUCAUGCCCCUUAUGACCUGGGCUACACACGUGCUACAAUGGACAGAGCAGAGGGAAGCGAAGCCGCGAGGUGGAGCGAAACCCAUAAAACGUUCUCAGUUCGGACUGCAGUCUGCAACUCGACUGCACGAAGAUGGAAUCGCUAGUAAUCGCGAAUCAGCAUGUCGCGGUGAAUACGUUCUCGGGCCUUGUACACACCGCCC